Non-coding RNA from Pelobates cultripes (western spadefoot toad), 107 nucleotides. The record is from the annotation of a GenBank genome assembly. Lineage: Eukaryota; Metazoa; Chordata; Amphibia; Anura; Pelobatidae.
AAAGCUCCACCACUUGGUAGCUUUCAGGCGCAAUGUGUGUUUUAUUCAGGCUGACAAUGUGUUUUACACAUUGUACCUGAAAACUACCGAGUGCUGGGGCUUUAUUU